Molecule: non-coding RNA, 95 nt
Organism: Acanthosepion pharaonis
Lineage: Eukaryota; Metazoa; Mollusca; Cephalopoda; Sepiida; Sepiidae
Source: the annotation of a GenBank genome assembly
CAUUGAAAUAACGGCUCCCGUACGAUCGCCAAAGUUAAGCAACCUCGAGAUCUGGUCAGUACUUAGAUGGGUGACUUGGGAAUACCAGGUGCUGA